AUUGAACGCUGGCGGCAUGCCUUACACAUGCAAGUCGAACGGCAGCACGGGAGCAAUCCUGGUGGCGAGUGGCGAACGGGUGAGUAAAGUAUCGGAACGUGCCCAGUCGUGGGGGACAACGUAGCGAAAGCUACGCUAAUACCGCAUACGAUCUAUGGAUGAAAGCGGGGGAUCGCAAGACCUCGCGCGAUUGGAGCGGCCGAUAUCAGAUUAGGUAGUUGGUGGGGUAAAGGCUCACCAAGCCGACGAUCUGUAGCUGGUCUGAGAGGACGACCAGCCACACUGGGACUGAGACACGGCCCAGACUCCUACGGGAGGCAGCAGUGGGGAAUUUUGGACAAUGGGCGAAAGCCUGAUCCAGCCAUGCCGCGUGCAGGAUGAAGGCCUUCGGGUUGUAAACUGCUUUUGUACGGAACGAAAAGGUUUGACCUAAUAAGCUGAGCUCAUGACGGUACCGUAAGAAUAAGCACCGGCUAACUACGUGCCAGCCGCCGCGGUAA
RNAcentral lists this ribosomal RNA (500 nucleotides) under uncultured bacterium. Its description in RNAcentral is "partial 16S ribosomal RNA". It matches the Rfam family "Bacterial small subunit ribosomal RNA", at positions 30 to 523 of the family's 1533-position model. The record is from RNAcentral.